RNAcentral lists this unclassified non-coding RNA (164 nucleotides) under uncultured Lachnum. RNAcentral describes it as "sequence contains ITS1". The record is from RNAcentral. Lineage: Eukaryota; Fungi; Ascomycota; Leotiomycetes; Helotiales; Hyaloscyphaceae.
CAGAGUUCAUGCCCCUCGGGGUAGAUCUCCCACCCUUGUGUAUCAUUAUAAAAAUGUUGCUUUGGCGGGCCGCGUGCCUAGCACGCCUGGAUUCGCAUCCGGCGUGCCCGCCAGAGGACCCAAACUCUGAAUGUUAGUGUCGUCUGAGUACUAUACAAUAGUUA